AUUGAACGCUGGCGGCAGGCCUAACACAUGCAAGUCGAGCGGAUGAAGGGAGCUUGCUCCUGGAUUCAGCGGCGGACGGGUGAGUAAUGCCUAGGAAUCUGCCUGGUAGUGGGGGAUAACGUCCGGAAACGGGCGCUAAUACCGCAUACGUCCUGAGGGAGAAAGUGGGGGAUCUUCGGACCUCACGCUAUCAGAUGAGCCUAGGUCGGAUUAGCUAGUUGGUGGGGUAAAGGCCUACCAAGGCGACGAUCCGUAACUGGUCUGAGAGGAUGAUCAGUCACACUGGAACUGAAACACCGUCCAGACUCCUACGGGAGGCAGCAGUGGGGAAUGUUGGACAGUGGGCGAAAGCCUUGUCCAGCCAUGCCGCGUGUGUGAAGAAGGUCUUCGGAUUGUAAAGCACUUUAAGUUGGGAGGAAGGGCAGUAAGUUAAUACCUUGCUGUUUUGACGUUACCAACAGAAUAAGCACCGGCUAACUUCGUG
RNAcentral lists this ribosomal RNA (484 nucleotides) under uncultured bacterium. Its description in RNAcentral is "partial 16S ribosomal RNA". It matches the Rfam family "Bacterial small subunit ribosomal RNA", at positions 30 to 507 of the family's 1533-position model. The record is from RNAcentral.